UUGAAGAGUUUGAUCAUGGCUCAGAUUGAACGCUGGCGGCAGGCCUAACACAUGCAAGUCGAACGGUAGCACAGAGAGCUUGCUCUCGGGUGACGAGUGGCGGACGGGUGAGUAAUGUCUGGGAAACUGCCUGAUGGAGGGGGAUAACUACUGGAAACGGUAGCUAAUACCGCAUAACGUCGCAAGACCAAAGAGGGGGACCUUCGGGCCUCUUGCCAUCAGAUGUGCCCAGAUGGGAUUAGCUAGUAGGUGGGGUAAUGGCUCACCUAGGCGACGAUCCCUAGCUGGUCUGAGAGGAUGACCAGCCACACUGGAACUGAGACACGGUCCAGACUCCUACGGGAGGCAGCAGUGGGGAAUAUUGCACAAUGGGCGCAAGCCUGAUGCAGCCAUGCCGCGUGUAUGAAGAAGGCCUUCGGGUUGUAAAGUACUUUCAGCGGGGAGGAAGGUGUUGUGGUUAAUAACCGCAGCAAUUGACGUUACCCGCAGAAGAAGCACCGGCUAACUCCGUGCCAGCAGCCGCGGUAAUACGGAGGGUGCAAGCGUUAAUCGGAAUUACUGGGCGUAAAGCGCACGCAGGCGGUCUGUCAAGUCGGAUGUGAAAUCCCCGGGCUCAACCUGGGAACUGCAUUCGAAACUGGCAGGCUAGAGUCUUGUAGAGGGGGGUAGAAUUCCAGGUGUAGCGGUGAAAUGCGUAGAGAUCUGGAGGAAUACCGGUGGCGAAGGCGGCCCCCUGGACAAAGACUGACGCUCAGGUGCGAAAGCGUGGGGAGCAAACAGGAUUAGAUACCCUGGUAGUCCACGCCGUAAACGAUGUCGACUUGGAGGUUGUGCCCUUGAGGCGUGGCUUCCGGAGCUAACGCGUUAAGUCGACCGCCUGGGGAGUACGGCCGCAAGGUUAAAACUCAAAUGAAUUGACGGGGGCCCGCACAAGCGGUGGAGCAUGUGGUUUAAUUCGAUGCAACGCGAAGAACCUUACCUACUCUUGACAUCCAGAGAACUUUCCAGAGAUGGAUUGGUGCCUUCGGGAACUCUGAGACAGGUGCUGCAUGGCUGUCGUCAGCUCGUGUUGUGAAAUGUUGGGUUAAGUCCCGCAACGAGCGCAACCCUUAUCCUUUGUUGCCAGCGGUCCGGCCGGGAACUCAAAGGAGACUGCCAGUGAUAAACUGGAGGAAGGUGGGGAUGACGUCAAGUCAUCAUGGCCCUUACGAGUAGGGCUACACACGUGCUACAAUGGCGCAUACAAAGAGAAGCGACCUCGCGAGAGCAAGCGGACCUCAUAAAGUGCGUCGUAGUCCGGAUUGGAGUCUGCAACUCGACUCCAUGAAGUCGGAAUCGCUAGUAAUCGUAGAUCAGAAUGCUACGGUGAAUACGUUCCCGGGCCUUGUACACACCGCCCGUCACACCAUGGGAGUGGGUUGCAAAAGAAGUAGGUAGCUUAACCUUCGGGAGGGCGCUUACCACUUUGUGAUUCAUGACUGGGGUGAAGUCGUAACAAGGUAACCGUAGGGGAACCUGCGGUUGGAUCACCUCCUU
Molecule: ribosomal RNA, 1536 nt
Filed under: Enterobacter kobei
Lineage: Bacteria; Pseudomonadati; Pseudomonadota; Gammaproteobacteria; Enterobacterales; Enterobacteriaceae
Description: bacterial SSU rRNA
Rfam family: Bacterial small subunit ribosomal RNA
Source: RNAcentral